Molecule: long non-coding RNA, 1510 nt
Organism: Polypterus senegalus (gray bichir)
Lineage: Eukaryota; Metazoa; Chordata; Cladistia; Polypteriformes; Polypteridae
Exons: 2
Source: RefSeq, a predicted model, not a curated record
AGUACUAAAGCGGCGCCACUAGAGAGCUCUAAAGCACAGGCUCAGCGUGUAAAUAGAAGAAACAAUUGCAGAAAAUUAAAUUUCCGCUCAAAUUACGCCCCUUAUCAUCAGCGAGUGCAUCAUUUCGAGUUGAGAAAGACAGCGAGAUAUAAUUUCAGCUACCGUUCCGAAGUGUUUCCGCGCACGAUCGCUCAUCACUGAGAGCAGGUAUGCGCAUCUGCCUUGGAAACUCCGAGGUGAGGCAGAGAAGCUCGACGACCACCUCGGUUUAUUUUGCAGGGUAGACUAACUCAAAAAGAAAUUAGUCUUAAAAAUGAGAAGCUUCUCGUGACGAAACAGGCAACUGGAUACGUGCUAAAUUGCUUGACCCUUUUAACAAGAAAAGAACCAGGUCAUAAUGAGUGGCCAAGAAGUGUGAAAUCAAGUAUUGUGAUUUGACUCACUUUCUAAUGCUAGAAAAUAGCAUGCCUUCGGAUUCAUUCUCCCUCCCUUCCAUAUUCCUCAAAGAAGAGAUGGGCUGCAGAAUUCCAUCUUGGCAGGACACCAGCCGAAGAUGACUUACGGUGUCUGGCUGUGCUUACACAUCAAUGACAGAAGAAAAUGUUCUUACUAUUUAGUAAAUCAUGAUGAAGAAUCAAAAAGUGAGGUAGCAGAUACCUCAGGAAUUGGUUAUGGGACAGUCGAGUCAAUGUCGAAUCAAUAAUGAGUUCAGACAUGGAGGAAUUGAAGAAGCGUUUCAUAAAUGGGGAAGAAAUUUGGAAACAGCACUAUGAGAACAAACAAAAGCCAGCUGCAUCAUGACCAUGUGCACAAUCAUUUUAUGAAGCUAAGGAUUCAGUUCAUAUUGAUUGCUUGCCUCUAAAAUUCCACAUAACCAGUCACCAUUACUUUGAUUUGCUUUGGCAUUGAGGUAAUCAAAGAGGGCAGUGGUGCUCAUAGAGUUUUGAACCGAGGACUGCUUUGCUAAAGUGAGAUUUAACAGUGGAUCACCUGAAUAUGAGAGACACCUGUUAGUGAAAUUCUGCAUUACAUUCCCCAGAUUUACUUUAUAGAAGGCAUUUAUGUGAAAAAUACUAAGAUUCAUAUGCAACGUUGCUGAUUUGCAUUUCAGACUCCCAUAUUUCAGUCAGUAAAAUAUAAUUAAGAAUUUAUUUAUGAAGAUCGAUUAAGAGCAGGGUGCUUGUGAGCAUCAAGGGAAUUAAGGGACUGCCUUAACCAGAAAUGAGCUCUCCAGGCUGACACCAAAGAGAGUUUCGAAAUGAGACCUGCAUGGAGCCUGAGAUCGUCUGGACCAGAGAGUGACGGAGGAUGAAGAAGUGUUAAAUGUGUGAGCGAUAUUUCUCUCUCUUAAGCUUUCAAGUAUUGAAUUAUUUUCCUUAUAGGCUGUCCCAUGUGCAAACAGCAUCUCGUAUUUCAACAAAUUAUCGACAUGUUUUUAAGAGUACUACAGUCAAGUGUCCUUUUUGUUCCAUUCUAGACUAAAUAUUAUUAAAGAGAGUACUGCCCCUCA